CCCCCAAAUUUCUCGGGACGCGGCGGCUGGGUUGGACAAUGAAUGCCCCCAGUCCAAGACGGGAGCUCUGUUCGUUGUGGCUUGCACAGAAUUUCUCGCCGCGUCCUCAUAUUUGCCGAUGGCUUCCUUCGCUGCUAGGGCCAUUUUCCGAUCCUCCUCCGGCAAGGCUACGGCUCUUCUGAGUGCCGGAGCCAGAGCGGGCUCGGCUCGUUCAACAUUUCGCAUUUCUUCCGAACGAUCUUUCUCUCAGUGUGCUGUAUGUAAGGAUUCCAGUUGAAAUGAGCUUGUGUGUGGAGUCCAUGUUUCCGCUCCAUUCUGCUACUUCUUCGGCAUUGAUGACUCCGAUGAUGCAUUCUGUCGCUCGCCAUAGUUAUGGUUGGCUUUCGGAAGAGGUUGUGGGCCAAAUUGGAUGGAUAAAAAGGAGGGAUAAAAAAUUAGAGGACAUUCUCGCACUAGAAUCAGAGCGCUCCAUCAACGGCCUCUUCCCUUCUGAACGUCAGUUGCCGAAUUCAAACGCUAGAUAAUUACCAAGCAAUCGGAGAAAGAGAGAGCAGAAUCGAAAGGAGUUUCUCGCCUGAUCUCGGUGAUGAAAAGUAGAGAAGAGAAGAGAACGGCGAACUCUCAUGUCAUUGAGAUUGGUUCCGAUAACAGAGUGGGGAGGAACAAAGCAGUUACUCUUGAUGAAGUGAUUGCUUGGGCAAAAGAAGACCAGUUGGUCCUGUCAUUGAGGCCGAAGUCAGACGCUCGAUCAUUACCAGGCCAUCGGAGGAAGAGAGAGCAGAAUCGAAAGAAGUUUCUCGUCUCGUCCCGGUGAUGAAAAACAGAGAAGAGAAGAGAACGACGAACUCUUAUGUCAUUGAGAUUGGUUCCGAUAACAGAGUGGGGAAGAACAAAGCAGUUGGUCCUGUCAAUUCAGGCCGGUGGGAUUUUCGCAUCUGCUAGGAAUACUGGGUCAUGAUGAUGAACGAUAUGAGAUAUAUACUAGUGCCUGGAUCAAUUUUUGAGACUGAUUUGAGUCUUGGGUAAUGAUGGCAAUCAAUUUGUUGAAAUCGAAGGACGGUCCGGUUCAUGUAAAGUUUGUUGUAAACAAUUAGGGAUCCAUGAAAUAUAACCACACAACCCACUAAGAUAGAAAUCGAGGACAUAGAUGAAGAUAAUGAAGUUGAGGUCAAGGAAUCAAACUCUGAUUGCUACAUUCAACACUCCAUCACGUACUCAUACAUCUUGUUUAUUCCCUUUUAAGAUUUUUGAAAAAUUACAAGUACGAGGAAGGAAGAAGGCGCAUGGGCUUAGGCGCUAGUCCGCGAGUGGGCGAGGGAACCUUGGCGUGUGGCAGCAUGUGUGGGCGUAUGAGAGCAUGUGCGGGCACAUGGCUUAACCCAUUUCAUCCGGUUCGACUUCUGUUUACAUAUUCUUUAGUCCUUCAAUACUAACCUUAAAAAUUACUAAUGGAAGGAUUCAUCAGUGGAAUUUUGAAGCAAUUAAGUAGCCGCUUUGAGUUUGAACUUGUAAAUGGUUAUGAGCAUGUUCAUUAUGUAAUUGGAGGUUCAAGAUUCACGACUAUUUCAUCUACGUACUUGACAUUGAAUUUGAAGAUACUAAUUGUAAUGUUUAAUCAGUGUUUAACGAUGAUAUGUAAUGUUUAAUGAUGA
Cucurbita pepo subsp. pepo (vegetable marrow) is the source of this 1652-nucleotide long non-coding RNA. RefSeq lists it as uncharacterized. The record is from RefSeq and is a predicted model, not a curated record. NCBI's taxonomy places the organism in Eukaryota, Viridiplantae, Streptophyta, Magnoliopsida, Cucurbitales, Cucurbitaceae.